Molecule: small nuclear RNA, 169 nt
Organism: Talpa occidentalis (Iberian mole)
Lineage: Eukaryota; Metazoa; Chordata; Mammalia; Eulipotyphla; Talpidae
Product: U1 spliceosomal RNA
Exons: 1
Source: RefSeq, a predicted model, not a curated record
AAAAAAAACUAACAGUACACUUACCAUGAUCACGAAGGUGGUUUUCCCAGGGCGAGGCUUAUCCAUUGCACUCUGGAUGUGCUGACUUGACCCCAGCGAUUUCCCCAAAUGUGGGAAACUCGACUGCAUAAUUUGUGGUAGUGGGGGACUGCGUUAGCAAUGUCCCCUG